Merluccius polli (Benguela hake) is the source of this 80-nucleotide non-coding RNA. The record is from the annotation of a GenBank genome assembly. Lineage: Eukaryota; Metazoa; Chordata; Actinopteri; Gadiformes; Merlucciidae.
GUGGCCUAAUGGAUAAGGCAUCAGCCUCUGGAGCUGGAGAUUGUGGGUUCGAGUUAGCCUGGCAAGCCAGACCCACAUCA